Molecule: non-coding RNA, 3330 nt
Organism: Chelonoidis abingdonii (Abingdon island giant tortoise)
Lineage: Eukaryota; Metazoa; Chordata; Testudines; Testudinidae
Source: RefSeq, a predicted model, not a curated record
GGCAGGGACUGUAUCUUUCAUAAAUGUCCAUCGCCUGGUCUACAGUACAAAGUGAGGUUGAUGUAAGAUGUCUUGCACCAACCUAGUUGUGCAUAUGUCCACACUUAAAUUUGUCUCCCACCAGUAUAAAAUCUCCAUUACGCCAACAUAGUAACACCUUCUGCCCAAGCGUUGUCGAGCCAUGGUCGGUGUACUGAGGUUGACACAGUGCAAAUGUAGACACUGCAUUGCCUAUGUUAACCCUAACAGUCCUCCAGCAGCUGUCCCACAAAGCCCCACACUGACUGUUCUGGUCUUGGUUGUGAACUCCAUUGCCUGAGACUCACAGAGACUGGAAGCCGCACCCUUUCUUUAAAACCCUGUGAAUUUCUGAUAUGCUGUUUCCAGAUUGUCCAUUGUGGCAAGCACCCGUAGCAGUUCUCCAUUGUUGUGUGCAACUGCCCAGCUGACCAUGUUGGCUACAUGCUCCAGGUGUGUUCCAUCCUGGAGUAGACAGGAGUUUUUGGAACUCCUGGGCCUGUGGGGAAAAGAAGUUGAUAGGCACAGCUAUGGACCAGCCAUAGAAAUAUGGCCAUCUAUGAACAGAUUGCCCAGGGGAUGCAGGAGAAGGGUUAUGACAGGGACCAGCAGCAGAGCUGUGUGAAAGCAAAGGAACUCCUGCAGGCAUAUCAGAAGGCCAGAGUGUCCAACAGUCAAUCUGAUGCUGAGCUGCAGCCCUGCUGCUUUUACAAAGAGCUGUGUGCCAGGCUUGGUGGAGACCCCCCACCAACACCCCACACAGACCUCCAUGGAUACCUCUGAAGAGCCUGCAUCACUGGCCCAUGGUGUGAACAGCAAGGAUGAGGAGGAGGAGGUGAAGGAGAAAUAGGAGAAGGAUGGGGGACAUGUGACCGGGAGGUCUAGCUAUGACACUAGUUUGGACCUGUUUGAGACUCCAACACAGUCCAUCAAUCCCAGCAGUCGAGCACCACAAAACCGAUUGAGGGGAAGGAUCCUCAGUUGCUGCUGUUGUGGCCUUGAGGAGUUCCCCUUCCACACCCACAGAAUGCCUGAGCCUGAUAAGGAUGGAAAAGAAGCUCAGAAUGACAUGUUCAGUGAGAUCCUGCAAGGCAGUGCUGCAUCAGACCAUGAACAGAGGGCCUGAAGCAUGAAUACUGCAGGCUGUAUAGAGAAAAAAAGAGCAGCAACAAGAGAAAGGACCAAGAAUCCCAGCAGAAAAAGGAGGGGAAAGGACAUAAUGGAGCUCCUCUGGUAGCAAACGUACAGAUUCAACAAUCCUGGUCUCAUCUCCCUUUGCAGUCCAUGGAGAAUUCCAUUACAGCACCUCCCUACACACACAUACAUCAACUGUGGUUCUCACAGCAUUUUUUGAAGUGUUUUUAUCACUCAAUAGAGAAGUGAGUAUGGAGAAGGUUGCAUGCUGGGAACCUGACUCCUUACUCCCAGUCACCCCUGUGUGACUCAUUUCUGCAACACCCUGCAUUGCCAUAACUUCCCAAAAGACAGAGUGCUGGAUGGUGGCAAGUUGCACACUGGAAUACCUAGCAAUGAUGCACUACACUGUGCACAUUGAAACGAGCACUCCUGGUGAGUAUGUGCAGUGCCAAAGUAUGCAAGUGCACAAGUGAUAUACUAACUGCAUCGGCUUCAUGCUGAUCAAACUUCCAUCAGCAAAAGUUUGUAGUGUAGAUGUGCCCAAAGGUAGCAAUAGGCAUACAUUCUAGUGCAGUCUGAGCAUCACUGUUUUUAUCAUCUCACCUUACCUAGAGCAGUUCCAGAGGAUACAGCAGUAGAAAUACUGGUGGCUGGCCUGCAGAAGUGUUUCUAUAGGUAGCAGUGGUGCAAGACCUGGGAUGGGAGAACUCCCCAUCAUUUUCACAGAGGAGACCUCUAUAGUCUCCACUUAAAAAGAAUGGAGAGAGCAUUUACCACUACAAUUAGUUAAUGUUCAUUACAAUGCCCCCAUUUUCAUAUAUACUGAAGAGUAGCAAUUGUCCAGCCCCUUUGCCAAUUAACGUAUGUCUGUAAAAGUGCCACUGGAGGGCUGCAACAAAAUAACCCAAGGAGCAGGUUAAAACAGCAUCUCUUUUCAGGUUGCUUAGGUACAGCCCUUAACAGACAAUCUUGUUUAACAGGUGAAUAGAAAUUCCCAUCAGACAAAGCUGAGAUGAUUUCCCAGAUAAGACCAAGUCACCUUAAAAUAGUUGAGCUGCCCCCUCCACAGCUGGAAUCCUUAAAGGCAGUGGUUUCUGUAGUGCAAACAGAAUGUAAAAGAAACAGUGCCAUAGAUCCUGUCUACACUGGGCCUGGAACCACAGCAGAAAGCAGGAGUUCAAGCUCUAGUUUUCAAACCCAUGGUUCCAAGUCCUAAAGUGUAAUCAAAAGCUAAUAUGUAACUAGAAUUGAAGCAGAGAGUUACAUCAGUCAUGUCUGAAGGGACUGGGAAUCUCCAUUCAGGUGUUAAACGAGACUCCCUGAUAAUUGUUGCUCUACCCCAGGAAGUGACCUGAAAAAAGAUACUGUUUAACUUGUUUUUCAGUUUUCUUAGUUCUAACUGGCAUUUUCACAGGAGUGUGCUGAUUGGCUAUAGGGCUAGACUUUCGCUAUACUUUAAUUGAUUUGAAAAGAGUUUUAAUACACUUUAGCUAACUGAAGCAGUGAGUUAUUUUUAAGGCCUUAUUAAAUGGAACCAUUGGUGGCUAGAGAACAUUUACACAUUAAAAAAAAAAGUUUUAACAUAGUUGCUACCUAGCCAAGCUGUCAGCAAAAUCUAUUAUUUAUCAGUACUGUAAUCAUCACAACAGCUUUCUCCUGUGGACAAGGCCUAUGCAUAUGCCGAGACAACAGGUAGAGAGGACAACAAAACAAAACAGAAGGGUGGAUAGCGAAGAGAUUGUGAGUUUGGUCUAAUAAUGAUUACCACUGAGAGCACACCAAACACCUAGCUAUCUCACUUUAUUCAGUUUAUCCCACCUUUACUUUCUUUCUCUUUUUGAAGCCAGCGGGGCUAGUUAUGUACUUAAACUUUUAACACAGCAUUCAGAUGCUUUGCUCAACUGGGGCCAGAUAGUGCCUAAUUUUGACUUUGGAUGUGUCUGUGUGACUCUUUAUAGAAGUUAAUGGGAACUGCAUUUACACAGUGGAUCAAUGGUAGAAUUUGGCCCAGAGUUUGCAAAACAGUUUUUCUGGAGGAAUUUUGUUUUAGAAUCAUUGAUUAUUGGAGUUGAAGGGACCUCAGGAGGACCUGUACUCUAACUUGCUGCUUAAAGCAGGUCUAAUCCCCAGACAGAUUUUUGCCCCAGAUCCCUAACUGACCCCAUCAAGGAUUGA